AUUUGGUCAUAGAACUAUAACUCACUCUAUUUAAGAUCACGUUUUCUUGCUAAAUAGCCAAAUUUUUGAAGGAUGGAGGGUAAAGCAAGAGAACCAAGUGAAACGUGACUCAUCUGCCUCAGUUAUGAGAAAUUGUCAGUUUUUGAAUACCCUGCAUAAGUUGCUAAAAAGUGUUAAUCACUUACAUAAAUGUUUGAGACGUAAUAAGAAAAUAAAACACUGCCACCUAAAAUUAUAAUACAACACUCCUUUCAGCUGUUUGAAUAUGCUUUGCCAAGUCAGUCUGGCCUCAGAAUGUUCAGGUGUGCGAAAGCACGAUUAUCACCUGUUGAUAAAUAAGGGAAAGUAAAUAAACUUCGAAGUUGCCAAAGGAGAAAUUUUGGUAAAAUUAGGAUCGGAACCCUUCAUUUUCACAGCAGCCCAUGGUGUUGGCUUCAGGCUAAUUGGCUGGGUUAAUCACCACUGCAGAGCAGUGACUCCCAGUGUUCCUGAGACAAAGAAUCAACAGAUCCGUGGCAAUCUGUCCUUCUCCAUGGCAAUUAUCACAUUCCCCUCUGCACCCGGGGGCCGUGUCAGGACUGGAAUAUGAAAUUACACAGCUCUUUCUGAGAAGUGCUCCCUUACAAAAUUACUGAGAUGGCAUCCAGCAGGAGAGGAGCAGUCAUCUGGCCAUUACCAUGUCAAAUCGCUGGAAGAAAGGAGAAAAUUGCUUCAAACAAACGGGCUGCAGCAGGGAGGAGGCUCCAGCCUUUUCAGCUCUCCUGUAUCUCAACAAGGAGAGACUUGUGGCUGGGGGGACACAGGGAGCUGGGAGGGGACAGAGGCAGGACAGCUGACCCCAGGGACAUCCCAGACCACGGGUGCCGUGCCCAGUGUGUGAAGCUGGGGAAAGGCUGGAAGGGAGGACACGGCUUGGGGGCUCUCUGGGAAUCAUCCAGUUGGUGGUGAGUUCUCAUUUCUGGUUUUUCUCUUUAUUUCUCUCACUUGUUCAGCAUCACCAUUACUGCCACUGCUAUUAUUGGUGCCAGUUUUGUUUUCAUUGUUUA
RNAcentral lists this long non-coding RNA (1046 nucleotides) under Cyanistes caeruleus (blue tit). RNAcentral describes it as "lncRNA (ENSCCEG00000018350.1)". The record is from RNAcentral. Lineage: Eukaryota; Metazoa; Chordata; Aves; Passeriformes; Paridae.